Molecule: ribosomal RNA, 468 nt
Filed under: uncultured bacterium
Lineage: Bacteria
Description: partial 16S ribosomal RNA
Rfam family: Bacterial small subunit ribosomal RNA
Source: RNAcentral
GACGAACGCUGGCGGCGUGCUUAACACAUGCGAGUCGAACGGAAAGGCCCUGCUUUUGUGGGGUGCUCGAGUGGCGAACGGGUGAGUAACACGUGAGUAACCUGCCCUUGACUUUGGGAUAACUUCAGGAAACUGGGGCUAAUACCGGAUAGGAGCUCCUGCUGCAUGGUGGGGGUUGGAAAGUUUCGGCGGUCGGGGAUGGACUCGCGGCUUAUCAGCUUGUUGGUGGGGUAGUGGCUUACCAAGGCUUUGACGGGUAGCCGGCCUGAGAGGGUGACCGGCCACAUUGGGACUGAGAUACGGCCCAGACUCCUACGGGAGGCAGCAGUGGGGAAUAUUGCACAAUGGGCGGAAGCCUGAUGCAGCAACGCCGCGUGCGGGAUGAAGGCCUUCGGGUUGUAAACCGCUUUCGCCUGUGACGAAGCGUGAGUGACGGUAAUGGGUAAAGAAGCACCGGCUAACUACGUG